This 253-nucleotide ribosomal RNA is filed under the name uncultured bacterium. RNAcentral describes it as "partial 16S ribosomal RNA". It matches the Rfam family "Bacterial small subunit ribosomal RNA", at positions 524 to 776 of the family's 1533-position model. The record is from RNAcentral.
UACGUAGGGUGCAAGCGUUAAUCGGAAUUACUGGGCGUAAAGCGUGCGCAGGCGGUUGUGCAAGACAGAUGUGAAAUCCCCGGGCUCAACCUGGGAACUGCACGGGAGACUGCCGGGCUUGAGUUCGGGAGAGGGAAGCGGAAUUCCGGGUGUAGCGGUGAAAUGCGUAGAUAUCCGGAGGAACACCGGUGGCGAAGGCGGCUUCCUGGACCGACACUGACGCUGAGGCGCGAAAGCUAGGGGAGCAAACGGG